CCGAGUGCAGGUCUGCCCCCGGGCAGGCCUAACCUCCCACCCGUGAAUACCUGACCAACGUUGCUUCGGCGGUGCGCCCCCCCGGGGGUAGCCGCCGGAGACCACAUUGAACCUCUUGUCUUUAGUGUUGUCUGAGCUUGAUAGCAAACCUAUUA
Molecule: unclassified non-coding RNA, 155 nt
Filed under: uncultured Aspergillus
Lineage: Eukaryota; Fungi; Ascomycota; Eurotiomycetes; Eurotiales; Aspergillaceae
Description: sequence contains ITS1
Source: RNAcentral